RNAcentral lists this unclassified non-coding RNA (335 nucleotides) under soil metagenome. Its description in RNAcentral is "partial contains 5.8S ribosomal RNA, internal transcribed spacer 2, and large subunit ribosomal RNA". The stretch from base 1 to 120 matches the Rfam family "5.8S ribosomal RNA", at positions 35 to 154 of the family's 154-position model. The record is from RNAcentral.
GAUGAAGAACGUAGUGAAAUGCGAUAAGUAAUGUGAAUUGCAGAAUUCAGUGAAUCAUCGAAUCUUUGAACGCACAUUGCGCCCGCCAGUAUUCUGGCGGGCAUGCCUGUUCGAGCGUCAUUUCAACCAUCAAGCCCCAGGCUUGUGUUGGGGACCUGCGGCUGCCGCAGGCCCUGAAAACCAGUGGCGGGCUCGCUGUCACACCGGGCGUAGUAGAUUUUAUCUCGCUCAGGGCGUGCUGCGGGUUCCGGCCGUUAAAAAGCCUUUUUUACCCAAGGUUGACCUCGGAUCAGGUAGGAAGACCCGCUGAACUUAAGCAUAUCAAUAAGCGGAGG